Ribosomal RNA from Ursus americanus (American black bear), 118 nucleotides. The record is from Ensembl. Lineage: Eukaryota; Metazoa; Chordata; Mammalia; Carnivora; Ursidae.
GUCUACGGCCAUACCACCCUGAACGGGCCUGAUCUCAUCUAAUCUCGGAAGCUAAGCAGGGUCGGGCCUGGUUAGUACUUGGAUGGGGAACGUGGGAGUCAGCCUGCCUCUGUGUUCU